RNAcentral lists this long non-coding RNA (1112 nucleotides) under Scophthalmus maximus (turbot). RNAcentral describes it as "lncRNA (ENSSMAG00000022377.1)". Lineage: Eukaryota; Metazoa; Chordata; Actinopteri; Pleuronectiformes; Scophthalmidae. The record is from RNAcentral.
UAAACGCACUCAAUGUAAUUUUCUGCCUCUUUAUGAAAACCCAACUUUCGAUGGAGUUUGGUGACGAAUGGUGAAGGAGCGUGGAAUCAUGGGAGUUGUCGUUUUUUGUUUUUUUACACCAAAUAGCCGCCACUGCAGUCAGCUUCUCCCUGUUAGGAUUGCUUCACUUCUCAUCACCCAGGGGGGUUACAAUGGCCAGAUGACAUAUAUAAUCUUUCCAGCGGGUUCUGGGUCUACCCAGGGGCCUCCCAGCAGUUGGACAUCAAAUGCCCAAACCGCCUCAACUGGCUCCUUUCAACCUGAGGGAGCAGCGACUCUGCUCCGAGCUCACCCAUCCAAGAAUAGCCACCUCAAUGCGAUGGAAGGGUUUGUGUUUCACGGUGAUCCUGGGAACUGUGUUUUCUGGGGCAGUGGCCCCUUUUGGGGUCUCCCAAGGCAAAUUGUCGGGGAGACCCCAAGGCAAAUCAGUCUGGCCUCUUCCAGGGGAGAGGCCAGACUGAUAGCCAUUCACAACAACCAGAUGAAAGGCAGCCUUUGGAACUGCAUGACCUCGCCCGGAUUAUGGAAUGUGGGCCACCCUCCUGGAGCCAGACCUGGAGGGAGGGGAGCUCACCGGUGAGUGUUUUGUGUCUGGAACCUUGGCCCAUGGGGCACGGCUCGAAAAACAUUACAUGGAGCUACCACCAGAAGGGACAAGCGUUCGGUUGCGGUGCGAUAAACUGCGUGAGAGGCCAGGUCAGGCGGACUUGGCAUCCUGAACCCUGAAAUCAUAGACUAGAUAAUAGAUAAAGGGUAAGCUCUACUUUCAGCCAAAAUAACUACAGCAAUUGUAAUGCUUUAAAAUAGAUGCCUAUAGUAUGUAAAUGCAUCUAUGCAGACUAAUAAUGACAUACCCACCAGCCUAAUUAGUUUGUGCAUGUAGCAAAUGUUGCAUUUUACUGUUUGUUGUAAAUUAGCAAAUGUUAGCUGAAAAUGUUAGUGAUUAAAGCUCAAAGUCUUGCUAAAAUGUCGGAGCGUCUGCCUCCUGUUGAAAUGCUGCUCGGUGCUACGGUAUAGCACACUGAACUGUGGUCACUAUCUGCUUUCUGGGGGCAGACAGAAUAAAACUAAAC